AACGAACGCUGGCGGCAGGCUUAACACAUGCAAGUCGAACGCCCCGCAAGGGGAGUGGCAGACGGGUGAGUAACGCGUGGGAAUCUACCGUACCCUACGGAACAACAGUUGGAAACGACUGCUAAUACCGUAUACGCCCCACGGGGGAAAGAUUUAUCGGGGUAUGAUGAGCCCGCGUUGGAUUAGCUAGUUGGUGGGGUAAAGGCCUACCAAGGCGACGAUCCAUAGCUGGUCUGAGAGGAUGAUCAGCCACAUUGGGACUGAGACACGGCCCAAACUCCUACGGGAGGCAGCAGUGGGAAAUAUUGGACAAUGGGCGCAAGCCUGAUCCAGCCAUGCCGCGUGAGUGUUGAAGGUCUUAGGAUUGUAAAGCUCUUUCACCGAUGAAGAUAAUGACGGUAGUCGGAGAAGAAGCCCCGGCUAACUUCGUGCCAGCAGCCGCGGUAA
This 447-nucleotide ribosomal RNA is filed under the name uncultured bacterium. RNAcentral's name for it is "partial 16S ribosomal RNA". It matches the Rfam family "Bacterial small subunit ribosomal RNA", at positions 29 to 523 of the family's 1533-position model. The record is from RNAcentral.